UUAAAGUUUGAUUUUUGCUUUUGUUUUAGUUAUUUUUAUAUGAUGCAUGUAAAUUUUUUCAAGAAAAAAUUUUCUAAAUGGAAUAAUAAUAAUAAUUUUCAGUGUCUUUUUUUCAUUUAUUAUAGUUUAAUUUGAGUAAUUAAAUUUAAAAUUGAAUAAUGUUGUGCCAGCAUUCGCGGUUAUACAUCAAAUUUAAGUUAAAAUUUUUGGUAUACAGUUUUUUUUUUUUAUUUUAUAUUUAGGUGAAAUUUAUAUAUUUUACUUAUAUUGGUCUGACUAGUCUGUGUUUUAAACCAGGAUUAGAUACCCUGUUAUUUUUGAAUAAAUUUUUUACUGCUUGGGGAGUAAAUUUUAUUUUAAAUUCAAUGGAUCUGGCGGUUUUUUAAGCUUUUUAGAGGAACCUGUAAUUUAAAUGAUAAUCCACGAUCUAUUUUACCUUGAUUUUCUUGUAUAUCUCUGUCGUUGAAUGUAGUGGAAACUUAUUUUCUUUUUUUUUUAAAAAAGUAUGUUAGGUCAAGGUGCAGUUAUAUUUAGGUUGUUAUGGGUUACAUUAAUUUUUUUUUCUUUGAUUAUUAUUUGGAACUUAUUUUGAAUUUGGAUUUAAAAGUAAUUUUUUUUUAUUAAAUAUUUUGAAUUUAGCUCUAAAUUAUGUACAUAUCGCCCGUCAUUCUCAUAAAUUGAGACAAGUCGUAACAAAGUAGGUGUAUCUGAAGAUGUAUCUAGAAACAG
RNAcentral lists this non-coding RNA (729 nucleotides) under Achilidae gen. 1 sp. n. 1 SX-2018. Lineage: Eukaryota; Metazoa; Arthropoda; Insecta; Hemiptera; Achilidae. The record is from RNAcentral.